AUGGCCGGUGUUGCAAGGGGGAUGGGGCGGGGUGAUGGCGACGGAGAUGACGAGCCGCGAACUGUAGGGAUGGCUAUCGUCGCCAGCGUUCGUGGCGCGGGCCGUGCGUCUAUCACCGUCGGUCAGGGCAGAGGGGAUGUGUUCCUUCAUGGCCAACCGAGCAGAUCCGGAGGCAGAGGGCAUGGCAAUGGCAGUGCGACCAUCCCCGUCGACAGUUCGUCAGGAGGAGGACAAUCCACAGGAUUCACGGAUGACAUCAAUCGGAGCGGAUAUGCCACCGGCGGGGCUCGUUAUGGUGGCAUAAGCAGAGGCCCGGAGGUUCCAUUGCCAAUUCCAACACCAAAGAAAGGUAAUGCAAAUGAUGUAACAAAUAUAUGGUGUCAUGGAAAAUCAUUGGAAGGAAAUGCAUGGUCUUGUUCUUAUUGUGGGGCUGUUAAACUUGGUGGGGGUGCAACCCGAUUCAAGCAGCAUCUAGCAGGACUGGCCCUGAGUGUUACUCUUGCCUGA
RNAcentral lists this ribosomal RNA (507 nucleotides) under Triticum aestivum (bread wheat). RNAcentral's name for it is "partial small subunit ribosomal RNA". The record is from RNAcentral. Lineage: Eukaryota; Viridiplantae; Streptophyta; Magnoliopsida; Poales; Poaceae.